GUCCCCGUAGUUCAACGGAUAGAAUGCAAGGUUGCGGACCUUGAGAUUGGAGGUUCGAAUCCUCCCGGGGACA
RNAcentral lists this transfer RNA (73 nucleotides) under bacterium. RNAcentral describes it as "tRNA-Arg". It matches the Rfam family "tRNA". From Rfam's summary of the family: Transfer RNA (tRNA) molecules are approximately 80 nucleotides in length. The record is from RNAcentral. RNAcentral also lists the same sequence under 1 other name.